RNAcentral lists this ribosomal RNA (108 nucleotides) under uncultured eukaryote. RNAcentral's name for it is "partial small subunit ribosomal RNA". The record is from RNAcentral.
UCGCACCUACCGAUUGAAUGGUCCGGUGAAGCCUCGGGAUUGUGACCUGUGCCUUUACUGGUGUUGGUCGCGAGAACUUGUCUAAACCUUAUCAUUUAGAGGAAGUAA